UGGGGAAUUUUGCACAAUGGGGGAAACCCUGAUGCAGCGACGCCGCGUGAUUUAGAAGGCCUUCGGGUUGUAAAAAUCUUUUUUAUGGGAUGAAAAUGACAGUACCAUAAGAAUAAGGUCCGGCUAAAUACGUGCCAGCAGCCGCGGUAAUACGUAUGGACCGAGCGUUGUCCGGAAUCAUUGGGCGUAAAGGGUACGUAGGCGGCCCAGUAAGUUAGAAGUGAAAUAAUAUAGCUCAACUAUAUAAAGCUUUUAAAACUGCUAGGCUUGAGAGAUGGAAGGGAAAGUGGAAUUCCUAGUGUAGCGGUGAAAUGCGCAGAUAUUAGGAAGAAUACCGGUGGCGAAGGCGACUUUCUGGUCAUCAUCUGACGCUGAGGUACGAAAGCGUGGGUAGCAAACAG
RNAcentral lists this ribosomal RNA (401 nucleotides) under Verrucomicrobiota bacterium. RNAcentral describes it as "Verrucomicrobia bacterium partial 16S ribosomal RNA". It matches the Rfam family "Bacterial small subunit ribosomal RNA", at positions 355 to 775 of the family's 1533-position model. The record is from RNAcentral. Lineage: Bacteria; Pseudomonadati; Verrucomicrobiota.